Molecule: ribosomal RNA, 7165 nt
Filed under: Emiliania huxleyi CCMP1516
Lineage: Eukaryota; Haptophyta; Isochrysidales; Noelaerhabdaceae
Description: 28S_rRNA
Rfam family: Eukaryotic large subunit ribosomal RNA (bases 451-3401)
Source: RNAcentral
ACUCCUGCCGAUGGAUAUCUUGGCUCUCGCAACGAUGAAGAACGCAGCGAAAUGCGAUACGUAGUGCGAAUUGCAGAAUUCAGUGAAUCAUCGAACCUUUGAACGCAAAUGGCGCAUCCGGGCUCCGCUCGGACGCAUGUCUCUUCGAGGGGCGCCUCCAUCCUCCUCGGAGCGAGAGAGCUCUCUCUCUCGUCUCCGGAGCCGGCGGCCGCGCGGGGGAGCCUCGGCCCCCUCGCGCGCCCGCCCAAGGCUGCCUUGCGAGCGCGGCGGCGGCGUCUAACCCGCGUCCCCGCCGGAGUGCUAAGUCCACGACUAGACCUCUGGUGGACGCGUGCCCCGUUCUGCCUCGCGACCCCCGGCGUGCGCGGUGCCUCUCCUCUCCUCCGGGAGAGCGAGGCCCGCCCGCCCCGGCGCGCGGCCGCUCUCUGUGCGGCCGCGCGCCUCGAAACCCGCCAUCGAAUGAGGCAAGACUACCCGCUGAACUUAAGCAUAUCACUAAGCGGAGGAGAAGAAACUAACCAGGAUGCCCCUAGUAAUGGCGAAUGAAGCGGGCUGAGCUCACGCUGCCAAUCUGGAGGCCUCGCGUAUGCAGCGCCCCCCGAAUUGUGGUCUAGAGAGGCGUUAUCGGCCGCGCCCGCUGCUCAAGUCCCUUGGAACAGGGUGUCGGAGAGGGUGAGAAUCCCGUACCGUGGCGGGUUGCGGCCUUACGAUGCGUCCUCGUCGAGUCGGGUUGCUUGGGAUUGCAGCUUGAAUUGGGUGGUAAAUUCCAUCUAAAGCUAAAUACUGGCGAGAGACCGAUAGCGAACAAGUACCGUGAGGGAAAGAUGCAAAGAACUUUGAAAAGAGAGUCAAAGAGUGCUUGAAAUCGGUAGGAGGAAACCCGGAUGGGCCCGGCUUCGGCGCGCCGACUCAGCCUGGGUUCUCCCCAGGUGCACUUCUGCGCGCCGGGUCAGCCGCGCCUCGGCGCCGCGCCUCAACCCGGGAGCGGGGCUUUACGGCCAGCUCCCGUCCUGGCGCGGCCCGGGGCCCGGCUGACGGAACGGGCCCCUCCGACCCGUCUAGAAACACGGACCAAGGAGUCUGACACGUGUGCGAGUACCCGGGUGGCAAGCCCGCGUGCGGAAUGAAAGUGAAGGGCAUGCCCUGCCAACCGACCUUGACCUGCUGUGAGGGGUUUGAGUGGAGCACACCUGUCGGGACCCGAAAGAUGGUGAACUAUGCCUGGGUAGGGUGAAGCCAGAGGAAACUCUGGUGGAGGCUCGUAGCGAUACUGACGUGCAAAUCGUUCGUCGAAUCUGGGUAUAGGGGCGAAAGACUAAUCGAACCAUCUAGUAGCUGGUUCCCUCCGAAGUUUCCCUCAGGAUAGCUUGAACGCAACGGUUUUGUCAGGUAAAGCGAAUGAUUAGAGGCCUGUGGGCUGAAACAGCUUGCACCUAUUCUCAAACUUUAAAUGGGCAAGAGGCCCGGGAUGCUUGAGUGAUCCCGGGCGGCGAACGGCGCGUUCAAAGUGGGCCAUUUUUGGUAAGCAGAACUGGCGAUGCGGGAUGAACCGAACGCCGCGCUAAGGUACCCAAGUGUCCGCUCAUCAGAUACCACAAAAGGCGUUGGUACCUCCAGACAGCAGGACGGUGGCCAUGGAAGUCGGAACCCGCUAAGGAGUGUGUAACAACUCACCUGCCGAAGGUACUAGCCCUGAAAAUGGAUGGCGCUCAAGCGGACCACCGAUGCGCGGCCGCCGGCGCGAGCGCGAGGCGCCGGCGAGUAGGAGGGCGCGGGGCUCGCGGCGCAGCCUUGGGCGCGAGCCUGGGUGAAGCGGGCCCCGGUGCAGAUCUUGGUGGUAGUAGCAAAUAUUCAAAUGAGAACUUUGAAGACUGAAGUGGAGAAAGGUUCCGUGUGAACAGCAGUUGGACACGGGUGAGCCGACCCUAAGAGACAGGAAAACUCCGCCGAACGCGGCUGGUUCUGUCAGCCCGUCCGUCGAAAGGGAAUCGGGUUAAUAUUCCCGAGCCAGCGCGUGGAUGGUGGGCGGCGACGCGAACGAACCCGGAGACGCCGGCGGGAGCCCUGGGAAGAGUUCUCUUUUCUUCUUAACUGCCUCCUGCCCUGGAAUCGGUUUAGCCGGAGCGAGGGCUACACGGCAGGCAAAGCACCCUAAGUCUUGGGGUGUCCGGCGCGCUCCCGACGGCCCGUGAAAAUCCGGGGGAGCGGUUCGUUCUCACGCCUGGUCGUACUCAUAACCGCAUCAGGUCUCCAAGGUGAACAGCCUCUAGUCGAUAGAGCAAUGUAGGUAAGGGAAGUCGGCAAAAUGGUUCCGCAACCUCGGGAGAAGGAAUGGCUCUGAAGGCUGGGCGCAGGGGUCCUAGGCUCGAGGCCGGCUGGCUGCGCGGGGACUACGGCCUCACGGCUGCGGAUCCCGCGCGGCCGUCCGGCGGACGGCCUAGGAGCGCUCCGGCUCUCCCUGCGCGACGAACAGCCGCUUCAGAACUGGCGCGGACAAGGGGAAUCCGACUGUUUAAUUAAAACAAAGCAUUGCGAUGGCCCGCGAGGGUGCUGACGCAAUGUGAUUUCUGCCCAGUGCUCUGAAUGUCAAAGUGAAGAAAUUCAACCAAGCGCGGGUAAACGGCGGGAGUAACUAUGACUCUCUUAAGGUAGCCAAAUGCCUCGUCAUCCAAUUAGUGACGCGCAUGAAUGGAUUCGUGAGAUUCCCACUGUCCCUAUCUACUGUCUAGCGAAACCACAGCCAAGGGAACGGGCUUGGAAGAAUCAGCGGGGAAAGAAGACCCUGUUGAGCUUGACUCUAGUCUGUUACUGUGGAACGACUUGAUGGGUGUAGAAUAUGCGGGAGGGGCAACCCGACAGUGAAAUACCGCAACCGUCAACGUUGUUUUACUUACUCGGUGGCGCGGAGGGAGGCUCGCCUCACUUCUGGAUCCAAGCCGCUUCGUGCGCGCGAUCCGCGUCGGGGACACUAACAGGUGGGGAGUUUGGCUGGGGCGGCACGUCUGUUAAAAAAUAACGCAGGCGCCCGAUUUUGAGCUCAAUGAGAACAGAAAUCUCAUGUGGACCGAAAGGGGAAAAGCUCGGUUGAUUUUGAUUUUCAGUACGAAUACAAACCGCGAAAGCGUGGCCUAUCGAUCCUCUCGUCUUUGGGAAUUUCAAGCUAGAGGUGUCAGAAAAGUUACCACAGGGAUAACUGGCUUGUGGCUGCCAAGCGUUCAUAGCGACGUAGCUUUUUGAUCCUUCGAUGUCGGCUCUUCCUAUCACUGCCUCGCAGCGGGGGCCAAAUGCAGGAUUGUUCACCCACCAACAGGGAACGUGAGCUGGGUUUAGACCGUCGUGAGACAGGUUAGUUUUACCCUACUGCUGUCUGUUUUUCUACGGUAAUUUGGUUCAUCUGUUGUGCGAGGCGUGAACCGCGCCAUUCGCUCUCACCUGGCAACCCUGUCUGCACGUCUCGCGCGCGCGUGAACAGGGCUCCGUGUGAGUGUUAGAGUUGUUUGGUAUCGCUAAAAAUCUCUCGGAACAAGCAAGGGUCUUGGGAGGAUGCCAUUUUGGGGGGUGCGGGGGCACACACAACGCGACACGGAGAGGGGGUGGGCAGGAUCACCCACACAGGAUCACCCACACAGGACAGUGGGAGAACAAAAUGCCUUGGAAGGACGACGACGGGCAGCCCAGGCGAUGCAAAUUCGCCGGGAAAAUUCUUUUCUUGGCGGCCUUGAAACGAACGAGAGACCUGCUUGCUCCACGCGCUGCUGGUGCGCAGCGUGCGCCGUUCUGCACUCGGGCACACCACCGCUCCACUCUCCGCUCUCCUCCAGCCGCACAGAGCCCAACCAGACCCCCCGACGGUCGGCGUUGAGCGUUGUUGAGCAGUGCCACGAGAGGCAGCAGCGUCUCGCCCGUGUGCCACAGCCGCGUGUGAGUUGCGAUGGGAGCCAGCUAGCCUCCCGACCGGCCUCCCGCGCACACUCGCACUCGGCAGCCUCGAGCCUCACCACGCCCGCUGCACACUGCCUCAGGCAUCCUCGCUCCCGCCACCACGCCGCCGCUCCAGUGCUCCUGCCACCGCCGCAGCCCUCCGCGUCGCGUUUCCGCCACCCUUUGACCGAGGCCGUGCGCUAGGCAGGCGUGCAGCUACAGGUGCGCAGCGGCGCGCCGCGCACCACCGCCGCGCUCUCACUCCUCAUCCCGGCCAGCUCUCCCCUCUUUCCGCCCCGCAGCUCCCCCGUCACCUCGCGAUAUCUCCCUCCCUCCCUCCCUCCCUCUCUCGGAGCCUCUCGGCAGGCCUCCGUCCCUCCGCCCCCCCCCCUUCCUCCGCCGACCGCGCACCGCGCCAUCCCCGCCGCCGUCGGCCUCACACCAGGUCUCAUCGGCGCUCUCUGCCGUAGGUUGCGCGCCGCUGCAGGGCGCGGUUCUGUCGCUCGUGCGUCAGGCGCGGCCGCGGCCGCGGCGCUCUCGCCUCUGCUGAGGCGCGCUAUCUGCUCGCCUCGCCGCUCUCCCCCCUCUCUCGCACCUCUCUCCGCACUUUUCCCAUUCGCGCCACGCCGCGGCGUCGCCACCGCACCGCCCUCUCUCGCCCUCACUGCGCGCUCCUCACCUCGCGAUAUCUCCCUCCCUCGCUCCCCCUCCCUCUCUCGGAGCCUCUCGGCAGGCCUCUGUCCCUCCGCCCCGCCCCUUCCUCCGCCGACCGCGCACCGCGCCAUCCCCGCCGCCGUCGGCCUCACACCAGGUCUCAUCGGCGCUCUCUGCCGUAGGUUGCGCGCCGCUGCAGGGCGGGCUGCGCGGCUCGUCGCUCGUGCGUGAGGCGCGGCCGCGGCCGCGGCGCUCGCCUCUGCUGAGGCGCGCUAUCUGCUCGCCUCGCCGCUCUCCCCCCUCUCUCGCAUCUCUCUCCGCACUCCUCGGCGGCAGCCCCGCAGGCUCGGGUCGCUGCAACCUCGAGUCGGGCUGGAGCGGCUGGGCGGCGCGGGGGCCAGCGUCGGCGGCGCCGCCCCGCCGCCGCCUCGACUCCUCCUCCUCCUCCGUCGCUGUCUACAUCUUUCGACGGCAUGCGCCGCCUCGCAGGGCGCGUCCAGAGCAGCUCGGGCGGCGCUGCUGCGGCGGGGGCGGAUGGCGCGGUCGCCGCGCCGCUCAUCGGUGAGCCGGCGCUCCCGCGCGGCGCUCCGGCGGCCGGCGGCGUGUUUCGCCGCUGCGGAGGGCGUUGUCGUCGCGAGGGGCGGGCCCACGGCGGCGGAGGCGCUGCGCUGACGGACGCUGACGGCGGCGGUGAGGGCCCAAGCGCCGGCCGAAGAAGCGUUGCCGCGAUUGCCGUGGCGUGCCGCCUGGCGGGCCCGGCGAGCGGUCCCCGCCGGUCGGGGCUGCCGGCGCUGCACGGUGCGAGCCGCAACUCCCGCCCCCCGCCACCUCUCGCCCCUCCCCCAGCCCUCUCCCUCGGCCCCGCCUCUCGCCCCGCCCGGGACUCUCCCCACGCCGCCUCUCCGCCACCCGCCAGCCAUCCCCGCCCCCGCCACCUCGGCCCUAGCGCACACGCACCCGCACGCGUCCCUGCCGCAGACUGGCGCGGCGACAAGGCGAUCGAGGCCGAGCAUAUGCGCUGGAGGCGACGGCCUCGACUUGCGCGCGAUCGGCGCCUCGCUCCUCUCGGCUCGGCAACGAUACGCGGCGCGCCAGCGUCGGCCCGCUCAAGGCUGCCCCGCACACACCCCUCUCGCCGUCGCCUCCUCCCUCCUUCCCCCACCCUCCCCCUCCGCCCCCCUCCCCCUCUUCCGCGGGGCGCGGCGCCCCCCCUCAUGCCGCAGCCCUGGCGCCCCUAUCCUCUCCGCGCGGUCACCGUCACCGCCACCGUCACCGUCACCGUCUCACCGUCUCGCCUCUCCCCCUGCCCCUCUCCCCGCAGGCCGCUGCACGGCGCUCGCCAGCGGCGCCGCGACGCGAGCGCUCUCGCCCCUCCCCCCCCCCACCACCGCUAGGGCCGACGGACGCCCCGCGCCUGCGUCCACCCCCCGCCGCCAUGAGCCGAGGCUCAUGGCGGCGCCUCGAGAGAGCCGCCGCGCGGCGCGGUCGCCGGUCCGGCGCAGAGGGCCGGGCGCCGGUCUCCGGCGCCGGGGGGCCGUCCGUGGGGCGAGGAGGGCGGAGGGGCGCGGCGGGGCCCGCCCAGCGGUGGGGGGGGCCGCGGCGGGGGCGUCCCGGUCCCGUGCACCGAGGCGGGGCGGCGGGGUGUGGUGCGGCGAGGUCGGUGUGCCGUCCGCCCCGGUCCCGGAGCCCGUCUCCCGGCUCCACGGGGCCCAAGUCGCUUCGUUUCGGGUGUGUUUGGCUUUGUUUGCAGUCGGUGUGCGCGUUUCCGAGUCAAAACGUCGCGUUCGGUUCGCAUUUGCAUCCCCAGUCCCAUUCCAUUCGGCUUCGGGGCGAAUCGGUACGACUGGGGCCGCAGUUUCCCCAGUGUGUCCGCGCCUCGGCUCGUAAUGGUCUCACCCAAUCGAAGCGGCGCCCUCCGGCGUACCACUUAGAGGAAUACGCAUUUCUGCGGCGAAUACAAACGCGAGUACGCGCACCGGCGCGGACACACUGGGGCUUGUCUGGCGGUGCUGCCCGCGCGGUCGGUACCGCCCUCUCGGCCACCCAAGCAGGUGGAUAGGUGAGGAGACGCGCAGAACGGCGGCCGCGAGGCAGCCGGCGCGGUGCUCCCUCGGCGCGGUUCGCCGGAGCAGACUUUUGCUUACGGUUUGAGCCGCGGCCCGGUAGGUUGACUGAGCGGCUGGUGCGUGUGAGGCGGUGCUGGGCGGGGUUGGGUCGCCACUGCGCGAUCCGGCCCCAGUCUCGGUUACGUAGACGCCUGGUCAGCACGUGCCGCCGCGGGGACUCACCCUCCCCCGACGCAAAAGCUCCCUCGCUGUGCCCCUCCGGAAUGGAUGGGGCCGCCUGGGUAGCGGCUGUGUGUGAGAAGCAGAUGGUUUCCCGAUGGGCAGACGCCUCGUGCGCCUCACCCCGCAGCGCGGCUGGCUCGCAGCUCGGAGGUUUCCUCUGGGCGCGGGUCGGCUGGCUGCACUGUCGGUGGCGGUGGCGCCUCGACUGGCCCCGCGUAACAAGGCCCUGGCAGGCUCAGCGGUGCAGCCCUCCCCUUUCGGAGCGGCUCCGCCCUGCUGUGGAGCUGCGGCGUGUCGGUUGU